Molecule: long non-coding RNA, 754 nt
Filed under: Homo sapiens (human)
Lineage: Eukaryota; Metazoa; Chordata; Mammalia; Primates; Hominidae
Description: non-protein coding lnc-COL6A3-9:1
Source: RNAcentral
CGACACACAUACCUUACACACAUGCCACACACGUAUCACACAUGCAUCUUACACACCAUACAUACCUUACACACAUGCCACACAUGUAUCAUGCACACAUCACACACACCACACUUACCUUACACACACAUCACACACCACACAUACCUCACACACACGUAUCUCACACACAUCACACAUGACACACAUACCUUACACGCAUGCCACACACGUAUCACACAUGCAUCUUACACACCAUACAUACCUUACACACAUGCCACACAUGUAUCAUGCACACAUCACACACCACACUUACCUUACACACACAUCACACACACACCACACAUACCUUACACACACGUAUCUCACACACAUCACACAUGACACACAUACCUUACACACAUGCCACACACAUAUCACACAUACAUCACACACCAUACACACCUUACACACAUGUAUCACACACAUCACACACACCUUACACACACGUAUUACACACACAUCACACACAAGACACACAUACCUUACACACAUGCCACACACAUACACACACCACACACCACACAUACCUUACACAGAUGCCACACACGUAUCACACAUAUGUCACACACCACAUACCUUACACACAUACCACAUACAUAUUACACACACAUCACACACACCACCCAUACCUUACACACAUACCACAUACAUAUUACACACACAUCACACACACCACCCAUACCUUACACACAUGCCACAUACGUAUUAUGCACACAUCACACACCACCCAUAC